AAAAAAGACAAAAAAAUGAAAAAUGAAAAGAGGCAAAAAGAGGCGGGUACUUCUGAGGCGGAGGACAUACUAAAGCGCGAGGCCCGGCGCGUGCGCUGCACUCUCUAACGCAUCGGCGGAUCCGGGCGGCUGGGUGAGCUGAAGUCAUGGCGAGCACCUUACAGCAGCUUCCGACGGAUGAUUCCGUCCUCCUGCGCGUCACCCAUGCCAACCUCAAGUCCUUCUCCGCCGACGUCCGCUUCUCACUUCAGGCGAGCGUGGAGUCCGUGAAGGAGAAGCUCUGGAAGAAAUGCGGCACUUCCGUCGAGUCCAUGCGGCUCGAGCUCUACGACGAUUCCGGCUCCAAGGUUUCCGAUCUGAAUGAGGAUUUUAGACCGUUCGGCUUCUAUUCUCCCCUGGACGGGUUCCGAUUGCAUAUCAUAGAUCUAGACCCCUCGUCAGUGACCUCCGGCGGGUGGCUUGAAGACACUUCACUGGUCGAAAAGUACAAAAUUUCUGAUGACGCUUACGAUAAGCUUGAUGGAACUUUCAGAAAAUUCAAGGAGAAAAUGGUGUCUCAAAAUCCACCAGCUCUUGAAAGCAAGAUACCGGACAACUACAUGGAGGACCUUUGCGCCAAUAUAAAGGUAGGAGAUAGAUGUGAAGUUGAGCCUGGGGCAAAGAGAGGUGUCGUCAAAUUUGUGGGUCAAGCAGAAUCUCUUGCACCUGGUUUUUGGGUUGGGGUGCAGUAUGAUGAACCUUUGGGAAAGCACGAUGGAAUGUAAUGUGCACACUGAAUUCUCAUUCUGGGUGAAAGGAACUCGUUACUUUGAAUGCCCUCCGCUUCAUGGUGCAAUGGUGAGGCCAGACAAAGUUAAGGUCGGCGACUAUCCUGAACAUGACAUCUUUGAGGAAGAUGAGAUAUGAGAAGGCAGUUCCGAAGCACUUCUGUUACUUUUCAACAGCUCCGAUCCGGCUUUUUUUUGUUUGUGAUUACAUUAGUAUGUUACCGAAGAGACGUGAACUUAUUCUGAAGUCAAACUAGCGUGGACCAUUUGUUGUCUCUCCUUGAGCAAAAAGUUUAACACGGGACAACUUGUUAGGUUCAUGAUCGUUAAUUAGUUCAUAUAAGUGCUGUUCAUCUUUUCAGCUAA
Molecule: non-coding RNA, 1133 nt
Organism: Punica granatum (pomegranate)
Lineage: Eukaryota; Viridiplantae; Streptophyta; Magnoliopsida; Myrtales; Lythraceae
Source: RefSeq, a predicted model, not a curated record